Molecule: ribosomal RNA, 459 nt
Filed under: uncultured bacterium
Lineage: Bacteria
Description: partial 16S ribosomal RNA
Rfam family: Bacterial small subunit ribosomal RNA
Source: RNAcentral
CCUACGGGAGGCUGCAGUGAGGAAUAUUGGUCAAUGGCCGCAGGGCUGAACCAGCCAAGUCGCGUGAGGGAUGACGGUCCUAUGGAUUGUAUACCUCUUUUGUCAGGGAGCAAAGGGCGCCACGUGUGGCGCUUUGCGAGUACCUGAAGAAAAAGCAUCGGCUAACUCCGUGCCAGCAGCCGCGGUAAUACGGAGGAUGCGAGCGUUAUCCGGAUUUAUUGGGUUUAAAGGGUGCGCAGGCGGAAUGUCAAGUCAGCGGUAAAAUUUCGGGGCUCAACCCCGUCGUGCCGUUGAAACUGGCGUUCUUGAGUGAGCGAGAAGUAUGCGGAAUGCGUGAUGUAGCGGUGAAAUGCAUAGAUAUCACGCAGAACUCCGAUUGCGAAGGCAGCAUACCGGCGCUCAACUGACGCUCAUGCACGAAAGCGUGGGUAUCGAACAGGAUUAGAUACCCGGGUAGUC